UGAGGUGUCUCACAGAGAUGGCAAGCAGU
This 29-nucleotide non-coding RNA is filed under the name Homo sapiens (human). The record is from RNAcentral. Lineage: Eukaryota; Metazoa; Chordata; Mammalia; Primates; Hominidae.